This 620-nucleotide ribosomal RNA is filed under the name uncultured soil bacterium. Its description in RNAcentral is "bacterial SSU rRNA". It matches the Rfam family "Bacterial small subunit ribosomal RNA", at positions 45 to 639 of the family's 1533-position model. The record is from RNAcentral.
UGCCUAACACAUGCAAGUCGAGCGGGAAAGUUCCUUUCGGGGAGCGAGUACAGCGGCGCACGGGUGAGUAACACGUAGGUAACCUACCCUGGAGUCUGGGAUAGCCUGCCGAAAGGCGGGCUAAUACCGGAUAAGACCACGAGGGCUGCGGCCCUUGGGGAAAAAGAUGGCCUCUGCUUGCAAGCUAUCACUUUGGGAUGGGCCUGCGCGCCAUUAGCUAGUUGGUGAGGUAACGGCUCACCAAGGCAGAGAUGGCUAGCUGGUCUGAGAGGAUGGCCAGCCACACUGGGACUGAGACACGGCCCAGACUCCUACGGGAGGCAGCAGUGGGGAAUAUUGCGCAAUGGGCGAAAGCCUGACGCAGCGACGCCGCGUGGGUGAUGAAGGCCUUCGGGUCGUAAAGCCCUGUCAAGAGGGACGAAACCUCGUCGACCUAACACGUCGGCGACCUGACGGUACCUCUGAAGGAAGCACCGGCUAACUCCGUGCCAGCAGCCGCGGUAAUACGGAGGGUGCAAGCGUUGUUCGGAAUCACUGGGCGUAAAGCGCGUGUAGGCGGCCUUCUCAGUCUGGUGUGAAAGCCCGGGGCUCACCCCCGGAAGUGCAUUGGAUACUGGGAA